AGAGUUGGAUCCUGGCUCAGGAUGAACGUUGGCGGUGUGCCUAAUACAUGCAAGUCGAACGGUGACGAUUUUGUAGCAAUACGAAUGAAAUCAUAGUGGCGAACGGGUGAGUAACGCGUUGGUGAUCUGCCUCGAAGUGUGGAAUAACUUCCCGAAAGGGUAGCUAAUACCGCAUAGUCUCUCAAGGUUUAGAAAAUUGAGAGUAAAGGAUUUAUUCGCUUCGAGAGGAGCCUGCGUCCCAUCAGCUAGUUGGUAGGGUAAUAGCCUACCAAGGCAAUGACGGGUAGGGGACCUGAGAGGGUGGCCCCCCACAAUGGAACUGAAACACGGUCCAUACACCUACGGGUGGCAGCAGUAGGGAAUAUUAGAAAUGGGCGAAAGCCUGAUCUAGCAACACCGCGUGUGCGAUGAAGGCCUUCGGGUUGUAAAGCACUUUUUGGAGGGAAUAGGAAGGAAGGUGCCUCCAGAAUAAGUCUCGGCUAACUACGUGCCAGCAGCCGCGGUAACACGUAGGAGGCAAACGUUAUCCGGAUUCACUGGGCGUAAAGCGCGUGUAGGUGGUUCUGUAAGUAGGGCGUGAAAGCUCCCGGCUCAACUGGGAGAGGCCGUACUAAACUGCAGAGCUAGAGGAUGGUAGAGGGAGGUGGAAUUCCAGGUGUAGUGGUGAAAUGCGCAGAUAUCUGGAGGAACACCAGUGGCGAAGGCGGCCUCCUGGACCAUUCCUGACACUCAGACGCGAAAGCUAGGGUAGCAAACGGAAUUAGAGACUCCGGUAGUCCUAGCCCUAAACGAUGCAGACUAGGCGUCGGCGGUUUAAUCACCGUCGGUGUCCAAGCUAACGCGAUAAGUCUGCCGCCUGAGGACUACGGCCGCAAGGCUAAAACUCAAAGGAAUUGACGGGGGCCCGCACAAGCGGUGGAGCAUGUGGUUUAAUUCGAUGCAACGCGAAGAACCUUACCAGGUCUUGACAUCCAAAGAAUCCUGAUGAAAGUCGGGAGUGCCUUAGGGAGCUUUGAGACAGGUGGUGCAUGGUUGUCGUCAGCUCGUGUCGUGAGAUGUUGGGUUAAGUCCCGCAACGAGCGCAACUCUUGCUAUUAGUUGCUAACAUUGAGUUGAGCACUCUAAUGGGACUGCCCGCGACAAGCGGGAGGAAGGUGGGGAGGACGUCAAAUCAUCAUGCCCUUUAUGAUCUGGGCUACACACGUGCUACAAUGGAUGGUACAGAGAGCAGCGAGACAGUGAUGUGGAGCGAAUCUCAAAAAGCCAUUCUCAGUUCGGAUUGCAGGCUGCAACUCGCCUGCAUGAAGUCGGAAUCGCUAGUAAUCGCGGAUCAGCAUGUCGC
This 1342-nucleotide ribosomal RNA is filed under the name uncultured bacterium. RNAcentral describes it as "bacterial SSU rRNA". It matches the Rfam family "Bacterial small subunit ribosomal RNA", at positions 8 to 1360 of the family's 1533-position model. The record is from RNAcentral.